GAACGUGUUGCUUAGCCUCCUCCGAAGAAGUAGAGAUGAUGCAAGGGAGGAAAGGAGAAGGGGUGGAGACCUUGACAGGUGAAGAAGAGGCAAGUGAGGGGGACAUGGUGCUUAUUACCAGAAAUGAUGUCUUGAGAGAAAGAAAGCUUAGAAGGUUUCUCAGCCAUGGAAGUAUGAGAUCUAUCUAAACCAAAAGAAGGG
This 201-nucleotide long non-coding RNA is filed under the name Amborella trichopoda. Its description in RNAcentral is "long non-coding RNA (ATRI_LNC001750)". The record is from RNAcentral. Lineage: Eukaryota; Viridiplantae; Streptophyta; Magnoliopsida; Amborellales; Amborellaceae.